Maniola jurtina (meadow brown) is the source of this 125-nucleotide small nucleolar RNA. RefSeq annotates it as small nucleolar RNA U3. Lineage: Eukaryota; Metazoa; Arthropoda; Insecta; Lepidoptera; Nymphalidae. The transcript has a single exon. The record is from RefSeq and is a predicted model, not a curated record.
AAGACCUUACUACAUAGGAUCAUUUCUAUAGUAAAUUCUUCACAAGACGUUCUUCGUUUGCUUGCACAGCACAAAUUUAGAAUACGGCGAAGAAAAUCUUUACACACCAACAGAAUCUUAUAGAU